UCUGGAUGUGGCGCAGCUUGGCUAGCGCACUUGCAUGGGGUGUAAGGGGUCGGAGGUUCGAAUCCUCUCAUCCAGAU
RNAcentral lists this transfer RNA (77 nucleotides) under Chlamydiota bacterium. Its description in RNAcentral is "Chlamydiae bacterium tRNA-Pro". It matches the Rfam family "tRNA". Rfam says of the family: Transfer RNA (tRNA) molecules are approximately 80 nucleotides in length. Their secondary structure includes four short double-helical elements and three loops (D, anti-codon, and T loops). The record is from RNAcentral. Lineage: Bacteria; Pseudomonadati; Chlamydiota.